GUCUACAGCCAUACCACCCUGAACACGCCCGAUCUCGUCUGAUCUCAGAAGCUAAGCAGGGUCGGGCCUGGUUAGUACUUGAACUAGUAGUCUUUUUGAUCUAGCAGUUUGGAUC
Ribosomal RNA from Ursus americanus (American black bear), 115 nucleotides. Lineage: Eukaryota; Metazoa; Chordata; Mammalia; Carnivora; Ursidae. The record is from Ensembl.